GUUUUGCGUGAGGGGUUGUAGUGGAAAUCCUCUCUUGUCUUAUCUCGUUUUUAAAACGAGAUAAGACAAGAGAGAUUGUAGCGGAAGACCCGACCCGUA
This 99-nucleotide small RNA is filed under the name Flavobacterium frigoris. RNAcentral describes it as "Flavo-1 RNA". It matches the Rfam family "Flavo-1 RNA". Lineage: Bacteria; Pseudomonadati; Bacteroidota; Flavobacteriia; Flavobacteriales; Flavobacteriaceae. The record is from RNAcentral.